RNAcentral lists this unclassified non-coding RNA (346 nucleotides) under soil metagenome. RNAcentral describes it as "partial contains 5.8S ribosomal RNA, internal transcribed spacer 2, and large subunit ribosomal RNA". The stretch from base 1 to 120 matches the Rfam family "5.8S ribosomal RNA", at positions 35 to 154 of the family's 154-position model. The record is from RNAcentral.
GAUGAAGAACGCAGUGAAAUGCGAUACGUAAUGUGAAUUGCAGAAUUCAGUGAAUCAUCGAGUCUUUGAACGCACAUUGCGCCCCCUGGUAUUCCGGGGGGCAUGCCUGUCCGAGCGUCAUCGCUGCCCUCAAGCCCGGCUUGUGUGUUGGGUCUCGUCCCCCUUCCCGGGGGGACGGGCCCGAAAGGCAGCGGCGGCACCGUGUCCGGUCCUCGAGCGUAUGGGGCUUUGUCACCCGCUCUGUAGGCCCGGCCGGCGCUUGCCGAUCAACCAAAACUUUUUUCCAGGUUGACCUCGGAUCAGGUAGGGAUACCCGCUGAACUUAAGCAUAUCAAUAAGCGGAGGA